RNAcentral lists this long non-coding RNA (3128 nucleotides) under Homo sapiens (human). RNAcentral's name for it is "HSALNT0306942". Lineage: Eukaryota; Metazoa; Chordata; Mammalia; Primates; Hominidae. The record is from RNAcentral.
AGUGGAUCUCAUAGAAGUACAGAGUGAAAUAUUAGGUUGGUACAAAAGUAAUUGCAGUUUUUGCCAUUUAAAAGUAAUGUUAAAAGUAAUAGUUACCAAUUGGCAAGAAUGUGUGUGUGUGGGUGGGUAGAGGAAUGGAUGGGCAUAAAUUGGUACAAACAUACAGUUAAGUAGAAGGAAUAAGUUCUAAUGUUUGAUAGCAGAGUAGGAUGUCUAUAGUUAGCAGCAGUGUAUUGUAUAUAUAUCAAAAUAACUAGAAGAGAGGGCUAGAAAUGUUCUCAACACAUAAAAAUGACAAAUACUCAAGGUGCUGGACACCCUAAAUACUCUGACUUGAUCAUCACACAUUCUAUGCAUGUAACAAAAUACCACAUGUACUGCAUAAAAGUGUACAAAUAGUAUAUAUUAAUUACAAAAAAAAAUCGUGUGGCUACCAAAACUCAUUAUUUCAGGUGCUAGCAAAUGUAGUCACAACCAAGACUAGGCUUGAACUCUUCCUUUCAGCUUCCUGACAGCCAAGUAACGGAGUGAAAGGUCAGAUAAUUUACUUAGACCUGAGACUGCCAUUAAUAUUGUCAACAAAUUGCUUUGAUCUACAGCUCAUUAGCUUUGGUUGGAAUUGCUAAGCAAAUAAGCCAAAGUGAAAUUUUGUUCUAUCCAAUGGCCUAUCUAGUACCUUAACCCCAGACAACCUUCUUACAUGGUGAUCACAACUAAGCUGGUGAAUGGGCAUAAAUCUUUUAUUGCUACCAGAAAAAAAAAAAAUCAAAGUGCAAGCUCUAUCAAAUGUAAGUGAAUGCCCAUGAUGUGUCUAGCAUCUAUACACUGUGUUCUAGAAGUAUGUUAAUUUGGCUUAAAGAAAAACUAUAAAUUCUUUGUCUUCAUUCAGAAAUCAGUAAUUCUCAAAAGGGAAGGUAGUUUAUAACCCCUAGGAAGAUCAGUGAUUCUCAAAAGGUGGUACGGUUUAUAACCUCUAGGGGUCACAUCCGAAUCUCCUGAGGAAAAUGCUGAACUAUGCAAUCCCUUCUCAACUUUCCCCUAGAGACAGAUUCUAACAACAUUGUCUCCUAUGAAAGAUUUCAUGAUUACUGUCAUGAAUCACUAUUAUUGAUGGGAGAAAAAGUUUAUAUCAGGUAUAUUGAGAUGCAAAAGGAAAAGAAUCACUGUUAUAAGCUGAAAUUGUUGAUGGAAGUGCACAGGAAACAAAACAGCAGCAAGAUAUUACACAAUUAGCUGACAUGUAUAGUGACAUUUUUGCCAGAUUACACACAAAAAAAUAUAACUGUAGUUUUUUCAUGAGCCAAAUUUCAAUAACAGCUAUUAAAUGGUAUUUAAAAUGCAUCAUUUAUAGAAAUGACCUUUUUCAGAAGAACUGGAAAAUUUUAACUCAUAUAUACUAGCUGAAGGAAAAAAAGGUUCUUGCUUAUAUUUCAAUAAGCCCUCUCUGCAUUGAGAAAAGAACAUUGUUGACUACCUUUUGUUUCUUGGCUUGAUACUAGUUCUCUAGCUUUCUUCUUUUUUUGUUUUCUUUUUUUUAAAUACACAAUUUUUACUAAUGCAAACCUCACAUUGACUCAGAUGAAAGAGGCAACAGAAUUUCUGGAUACCGUGUACCCUUUAGAUAAUGUACCUCAACAACGAUUCAGUUUCUUUUUCUAAUUUUGCAGAUCAUUUAACAAAGUGUACAGCUGAAAAUGGUUUGUGUAAGUGGUUUUUCAUCUGUAAGCUUAUUAUAUUUCCUUUGAAAAUUGUUCUUUGUGAUUUCAACAUCUUCUGGGGGUAGGGUGGUGACAUUUUAUAUAUAUAAUAUAUAUUUUUUUUCCUCUCUCUCUCUCUCUGUAUGCCUUUUAAAUCCAACAGUCACUUCUCUUUCCUCGUGAUAAUCACUUCUUUUAUGGACUGAAAGCACUUUGUGCUUUUUCCUCUGUAAUCCUAGUUGAUUAUACAGUAUCUUCAUUGUUGCUCGGUGUAUAAGUCUUCGAGGUUUCGGCUGCACUGUCCAAAUCAUGAUGAGCUUCAACCAUGGCCACUGACGAAACCUCAGGCAUUUCGGCUGGUAUUUUGAACAAAUUUAUUUACUGCCUUUAUUAUAAUGUUGUCGGACAGUUGUGCAUCUAGAUGAUCUGGUGGAGUUUACACUUCAGAGGCACUGGGAAUGCCAAAGAUUUAUUUGCCUCUCAUUCAUUAAGAAGAAAAAAGAAAGAAAAUGUAACUAAUUGAAGAGUCUGGAUGACAAUUAUCUGUUUGUCGCCAUGGGUUGGGCAGAUCCUGAAGAGAACCAACUUGAGUCUGACAGUCCUUCCAGAACACGGCACCCACCUCCACCAUAUAACACAGCCAAGUGAAACACUAAGGAGGCUCUGUAAGGCAUGACUCUGAAGAAGGCCACUAUCUUUUACUGCCGUGACACCAUUUCUCAGAACACAUCACAUGGCCCCUGAGUGGUCAGGAGUCCAGAGAAAAACAGUCAAGCCCUCCUUUAAUAGUAAAAUUUUUGUCUGACCCUCUCAAGUGGCUAUGUAGAUCUCUUGCAAAUUGAACCAGAAGGUCUUUGGUUCAAGUUCCUGACUUAGCAAUUUUGUAUGUUAUCUCACAUACCAUGAUCAGGUUCUUUGUGGAAGUUCUCUCUUUAAUUCUUCUUGAAAUAGGUUUGUUUUGUUUUGUUUUUUUAAUGCCUAUUUGAAAUCUGAGGAAACAAAAGCUCAGAAAGUGACUGGGUCCUUGACUUCCCAGCUCUUUACUACAGUCACUGGGGAACACAGUGACCCCAUCCCUAAUCGCUUCUUCAAGCGGUGCAAGUGACCCAGGAAUUCCCCGGCCAUUGCACAAUGAACUUUCCAUACCUUUAUUGGGAAUUCAGUUGUGGGGAGGAAAUCAAGGCUUUCAAAAACAUUAUCAGUAGACAAAAAUGAAGCCCCAUCUGCAUUUGAAUUUUCUAGUUUCUCAGUGUCAGGCAUUGAAUUGUCAUGGUUUGGCUCCCACUCGUUUUCUGCUUCAACGCUCAACAAGAAGACAUGGAAGUGCAGCAUCACCUAGAAUUCACUUGGUUGGAAAGAAAUGCAUUUCCUGUGAGUUGGAGAAGGUCCUUCCAUUCUUUGCAGGAUCUCACUCUGUCACCCAGGCUGGAG